UGGCACAUUGUACAUCGGGCUGUCAGUCCUGAAAACAACAUUGUAGAGCUCUAUUGAUCUUAUUUUUGUUUUAAUUUUGAAGCUUAUCGAUCCAUUUCUAUUUAAUAUGUUGAGUGUAUAAAUCCUGUAUGUCAACUAUUUAGUUUAUGAACAUAGAAUUGCCACAAGCAUGUCUAUAAUUGGAUUACUGCCAUGGUGUCUGCUGUCUACCACCUUGGAGACUAAAUAACAAGUAAUUUGUAUUAGAUCAGUUUGACUUGGUACAUGUGUUAGAGAAUGUGGUGUUGGGUGACAACUUCUUCCUACUCUUUUUGCAUUGAUUUGCCUAUUCUUGUCUCUUGGUUUUUUUUAUGAAUGCUCAAACAAGUACACUAUGUUGCUUCUGGCAUUUAGGAAGUUUUCUGCUGCUUUGCUCUAUGCCUGUUUUCUAUAGAUCAGAUCAAGUGCUACUCUUAACUGUUUCAAUGGUUAUUGUUGUAUUAUAUGCAUAAGAAGCAGAAAUGGCAAUCAUUUAAGCAACCAGGAGAUCAAGAAUAGGAAGUAUAUGACUUUCAUCAUUGCUUAUCUUUCCUUUAUUUGUUAGUUCAGUACAGUUCUAUAUUUUUUAGAUUCUUGGUCAACAUUUCGUUAUGCUUGUGACGUUUAUAUCUGUUUUUGGGUCUUGAGAUUGAUUUCAGAGGCAACUCAGUAGUCUCUAAGAUACCGAAAUUUGUUCGUUGAAUGAAUUAUUAAACUAAGAAAAGAUAGCAGACUAUUAUAUCCUGAAUAAAGAUUGUCCCAUC
RNAcentral lists this long non-coding RNA (782 nucleotides) under Musa acuminata (dwarf banana). Its description in RNAcentral is "long non-coding RNA (MACU_LNC009805)". Lineage: Eukaryota; Viridiplantae; Streptophyta; Magnoliopsida; Zingiberales; Musaceae. The record is from RNAcentral.